This 492-nucleotide ribosomal RNA is filed under the name uncultured bacterium. RNAcentral describes it as "partial 16S ribosomal RNA". It matches the Rfam family "Bacterial small subunit ribosomal RNA", at positions 29 to 507 of the family's 1533-position model. The record is from RNAcentral.
AGUGAACGCUGGCGGUAGGCCUAACACAUGCAAGUCGAACGGCAGCACAGUAAGAGCUUGCUCUUACGGGUGGCGAGUGGCGGACGGGUGAGGAAUACAUCGGAAUCUACUUUUUCGUGGGGGAUAACGUAGGGAAACUUACGCUAAUACCGCAUACGAUCUACGGGUGAAAGCAGGGGAUCUUCGGACCUUGCGCGAUUGAAUGAGCCGAUGUCGGAUUAGCUAGUUGGCGGGGUAAAGGCCCACCAAGGCGACGAUCCGUAGCUGGUCUGAGAGGAUGAUCAGCCACACUGGAACUGAGACACGGUCCAGACUCCUACGGGAGGCAGCAGUGAGGAAUAUUGGACAAUGGGCGCAAGCCUGAUCCAGCCAUACCGCGUGGGUGAAGAAGGCCUUCGGGUUGUAAAGCCCUUUUGUUGGGAAAGAAAAGCAGCAGGUUAAUACCCCGCUGUUCUGACGGUACCCAAAGAAUAAGCACCGGCUAACUUCGUG